UAAUAAGUGUUUUAUGAGCACCUUUUAAAUCCAUAUCCACCCUUGUGUGCAAUGUCAGCUCGAUCUUCUAUCAUGGUAGAUUGACCAAACAUCAACCUUUUAUUUUUAACUCUUUGUCUGAAAAAUAUUAUGAAUAAACAAUUCAAAAUA
RNAcentral lists this unclassified non-coding RNA (150 nucleotides) under soil metagenome. Its description in RNAcentral is "partial internal transcribed spacer 1". The record is from RNAcentral.